AUUUGAAGUAAUCAGAUGAGGAGCCCCAUUCGAACACGUCUGCGUGAGCGCGCCAUGUUUGAAGAGACCUGAGACCGGUUGAUGAUGCACGCGAUGGAUUUGGAAAACAUCAUGAAAUGGUGUUCAUGGAGUUCUACAGGAUUGUGGGCAAGAAUCUCAAGCAAUCAUCUAAUUGAGAUAUUUCAGUCUAAAGUGGGAAUGUUGGGCAGCUGUUGACAGCUUUCACAACAAAUCAAGACUAAAGAGCCAACUGAUACUAGGUUUCUGGUGCUCAGAGGGCUCAUCUCAGCUACCCUAAAUCUGUGAAGAACACAUUCCAGAUCAUCCAACAGGUACUUCUCAUGUUGGGCCACAGUGAACUAAAACCCAGGUUGCAAACUCUGAAAAAUUGUCCUACAAUGUUAGGAAAUGUGAGAAGCUUCCAUGAGAAGUCACUUGUGUUCUGCCGUACGAGACAUUAAAGUGUAUUCUGUCUCUGCAUAUUAGUGCUGUUAGAGCUCCGUUAAUGUGUGUUCACACAAUUCUUCAGCCAAGUUUAAAGUUAUAGAGACUUGCCUUAAUUUAAGCCCAGUUGUUAAUGCACAUCCAGGCAUUCACAAAGGAUAUAGCAUAUAUUCUUGAAUACUGUGUGUUCUUGUUUCUUCUACAAAAUAGUUACAAUUGUUAACAAGCUGUUCCAAAGGCUUGUGGCUGACAAGUUUUAUGUAUUGUUGUGGUACCAUUUCUUUGGUGAA
Long non-coding RNA from Onychostoma macrolepis, 734 nucleotides. RefSeq lists it as uncharacterized. The transcript has 3 exons. The record is from RefSeq and is a predicted model, not a curated record. NCBI's taxonomy places the organism in Eukaryota, Metazoa, Chordata, Actinopteri, Cypriniformes, Cyprinidae.